Scylla paramamosain (green mud crab) is the source of this 1824-nucleotide long non-coding RNA. RefSeq lists it as uncharacterized. Lineage: Eukaryota; Metazoa; Arthropoda; Malacostraca; Decapoda; Portunidae. The record is from RefSeq and is a predicted model, not a curated record. The transcript has 5 exons.
UGCAGCCACAUCAGAGAGGCUGGCUGUGAAUUUAGUCUUCCUGCCACACAUUGAAGUUCCUGCUGAUAGCCAAUUGGACCUCAGCUUGUUCAUCAGGCUUGACUCCUGCAUCUUCUGAAGGCUGUAGGAAGAAUAAGUAAGCCCAAUAGCAAUGCCUCCUGUGAUGUACUGGACUGGCAGUUCCUUGAUUCUGGAGGAGUCUGCAAUAGGAAGACCACAAAUGUAGUAGUUCGUUGUGACAUCCAUACCUAUGAACAUGUAUUUACCUGCCAAAAUGCUUAAUUAUGUAAGGCCUGCCUGCCUGCCUGCCUGCCUGCCUGCCUGCCCCCCCCCCCCCCCCCUCUCUCUCUCUCUCUCUCUCUCUCUCUCUCUCUCUCUCUCUCUCUCUCUCUCUCUCUCUCUCUCUCUCUCUCUCUCUCUCUCUCUCUCUGAAGUGUGGAUGGUAUGUCAGCACAGGGAGCAAAAAACCAAGGAGCCACUGAGGCUGUCACUUUGAAGAGGUCAUUGUUGUUGCAUCCAGCAUCCCAGCCUGACUGCCUAGACAGCUCCUGCAUGUUGCUGAAGGGCAGAGUCACAGACUGCUCCACUGCCAGGUGUGAGACCAGUGUGGCAGAGUAUGAUGUGUACACAAUGAGGGACACACCACAGCCAACCCUGUAGGUGACCCAUGCUGCACUGCUGAUUGGGUCCUCACUUUGCUGUAGGAGAGCUGACAACACGUACCAGCCAGCAACUCCCAUGCUGACAGGCUUCUCCCCCAUGGGUAUGUAGCACCUCUGGAGUUGGUCAGCAAAGAAGAGGAUGCUAGCCAAACCUAUCAUGUUAGUCAGGAUGCACCAGUACAGAGCUGUGUCCAUUGGGGUUGUGUAGGCUAGUAGCAUCUUGUCAAGAUCAUCAUAGGUGGCCACAAACAGUUUAUAGCUAUGAGAGGAGGACUUGCCUUGUGAACAUCACAUUGGGGAAGCCCACCCCAGCAGCCCAGCCUCCCCUGACAGCUGUCAUCAUCUGCUGCCUUGCCUGGGAGGACCAUAGACACAGCUUGUCUCUGAUGUCUUCCCCACAAUGCCUUGUCUUUGUUGGCUUCAGUGCAAUUUGUUUGUCUUCAGUUUAAAUAGUAUUGUAUAUACUAUCUUGUCUUCACCAUCUUGAAAUGUGAAGGAUGUUCUUGACAAACAAACAAGGUAGUAUUGUAUAAUUAUUACUUUAAAUAUUGUCUUAAAUUAUCUUGAAAUUUGUAAAAAAAAAAAAUGUGUAAAAAGAAAGCAAAUACAGAUGAUUAUCCCUGUAGUGAAGGAGGAAGGACUCAAUGUCCCUGUAGUGAAGGAGGAAGGACUCAAUGUCCCUGUAGUGAAGGAGGAAGGACUCAAUAUCCCUGUAGUGAAGGAGGAAGGACUCAAUAUCCCUGUAGUGAAGGAGGAAGGACUCAAUAUCCCUGUAGUGAAGGAGGAAGGACUCAAUUUUUUUUUAAGUUCAAGGUGUGAUUUGCACAUAGAGGCUCCUGGAUUUCCCUGUAGAUUGACCCUCCCUGAAUGCAGGGAGGGACAGUGCCUCUAUGUACAAAUCGCACCUUAAACUUAGUAUUUUGUAGUGAAGCCUUAAACUUAGUAUUUUGUAGUGAAGGAGGGAGGAAGUAUUUUGUAGUGAAGGAGGGAGGAAGGACUCCUUUCUGAGUCCUUCCUCCUUCACUACAGGGAUAUUGAUCUCUAUAAAUAUUUUUUUUUUACAAAGCUAGCUAACAAUUAUAAGGCAGAUUACAUUGAGUCAUAAUUAUUAAGCAAAUUUAAUUUUUUUUUUCACAAUACAAUUAUUAAAUUUGACAAAUUA